GACGAGUGCCUCAAGCGUUAUCCGGAAUCAUUGGGCGUAAAGGAUGUGUAGGUGGCCAUGUUAGUCUCUCGUUAAAUUUUGCGGCCUAACCGUAAAUCUGCGAGGGAAACGGCAUGACUCGAGGGUGCAAGGGGUCUCUGGAACUCUAGGUGUAGCGGUGAAAUGCGUUGAUAUCGGGAGGAACACCGGUGGCGAAGGCGGCCCCCUGGUUGGAUACUGACGCUGAGACGCGAAAGCGUGGGGAGCAAACAGG
This 253-nucleotide ribosomal RNA is filed under the name uncultured bacterium. RNAcentral describes it as "partial 16S ribosomal RNA". It matches the Rfam family "Bacterial small subunit ribosomal RNA", at positions 524 to 776 of the family's 1533-position model. The record is from RNAcentral.